Molecule: ribosomal RNA, 382 nt
Filed under: uncultured eukaryote
Lineage: Eukaryota
Description: partial 18S ribosomal RNA
Rfam family: Eukaryotic small subunit ribosomal RNA
Source: RNAcentral
UGUAAGCGUAUACCAAAGUUGUUGCAGUUAAAACGCUCGUAGUCGGAAUUUGGCAGUUCCGGAUGUGUGCACGUCGUGUGCGCACUUCGCGGGGAUUGCUUUUGUGGUCUUGCGUAGGAUGAGGCACUUUUAUUAGUGAACGUCCUCACGCAACCACUUUUUACCGUGAGAAAAUCAGAGUGCUCAAAGCAGGCAUUUGCCGUGAAUGUAUUAGCAUGGAAUAAUAGAAUAGGACUUGGUUCUAUUUUGUUGGUUUGUUGGGACUGAGUAAUGAUUAAGAGGGACAGUUGGGGGCAUUUGUAUUUCGGUGCUAGAGGUGAAAUUCUUAGAUUACCGAAAGACAAACUGCUGCGAAAGCGUCUGCCAAGGAUGUUUUCAUUGA